Molecule: ribosomal RNA, 253 nt
Filed under: uncultured bacterium
Lineage: Bacteria
Description: partial 16S ribosomal RNA
Rfam family: Bacterial small subunit ribosomal RNA
Source: RNAcentral
UACGUAGGGAGCAAGCGUUGUCCGGAAUCAUUGGGCGUAAAGCGCGCGUAGGUGGCCUCAUAAGUCCGCUGUGAAAGUCAAAGGCUCAACCUUUGAAAGCCGGUGGAUACUGUGAGGCUAGAGUACGGAAGAGGCGAGUGGAAUUCCUGGUGUAGCGGUGAAAUGCGCAGAUAUCAGGAGGAACACCGAUGGCGAAGGCAGGUCUCUGGGCAUUAACUGACGCUGAGGAGCGAAAGCAUGGGGAGCGAACAGG